Pezoporus flaviventris is the source of this 564-nucleotide long non-coding RNA. RefSeq lists it as uncharacterized. The record is from RefSeq and is a predicted model, not a curated record. Lineage: Eukaryota; Metazoa; Chordata; Aves; Psittaciformes; Psittacidae. The transcript is spliced from 2 exons.
UAGUUAUGAAUAUUAUAUCAAAAUAAUAUAUAUAAUUUCUGUAAUUGCAAGGUUUUGCAAUUGUGUCAAUAGUGGGAGAAAAUGUCUUUACAGUUAUUUACCAGUUAAUAUUUUAUCUUUUUACAAGUAAGUUAGUAUUUUUAACAAUUUUUUUUUCACAAACUCAUUUUCCAGUAGCCCACGAAGUCCUAUUUGCUGGUACAAUAGGAAUUUUGCAUAUAAUUGUAUCUCUUUUAUUGCCCUGUCAUUGUACAUCGUUAUGUGUUUGCUAUCGUAUUUAUUAAUUGCACAUCAUAAAGAAUUGCUACCUAUGUUACCAAGUAGAAAGCUAUUAUUAGUAUCUUUGCUCCAUUAUUUAAAGCUUCCUUAUUAUAAGAGUGUAUCCAAUAUCUUUCUUCUAAAUUACUCCAUUUUUCUUUACAAAAUGCUGAAAAAUACAUCUUUCAACAAGAGUCAGUUACAUGAAACCAGUGUUUCAAUGCUCCAGUGCUUUUUAUAUCCUUGUUGAAGUUGCCUUUGUACUUCCUGCACCAAACAUUAAUAAAGUUAAUUAGAACUCAGAAA